Long non-coding RNA from Dermochelys coriacea (leatherback sea turtle), 749 nucleotides. RefSeq lists it as uncharacterized. The record is from RefSeq and is a predicted model, not a curated record. Lineage: Eukaryota; Metazoa; Chordata; Testudines; Dermochelyidae. The transcript has 2 exons.
UGUUGAUUUUCAAUAAGUCUUAGAAGACUGGGGAAGUUCCAGAAAACUGGAAGAAAGGAUAAUCAGCUGAACAAGAGCUAUCGGUGUGAUACUGUGGCCAAAAAGGGCUCAUAAGGGGCAAGGCUGGGCAGAAAGGCAAACCUACCCUGAGGACCCUUGAACAAGGAUGCCAAAGAAGCCUCACUGUGAGGAAGAAGACUAUCUGCUGAUCAUAGUUGGAGCUGAAGGUUUAGCUGUCUUUUCUUUUCUUUUGCUAUCUUACAUUGGACUUAAAGACUUUGCGGGAGACAGAUGGUAAGAAUUGAUCCACAGAGGCAGCUCUGAAGCACUCUAGAGUGCCUAAUAUUAUUGACCCUUGGAGGGCCCUAGUUCAGAGCACGGUGGAGUGGGAGCCCAGGCUCCCCUACUAACUGUCCUUGUUGCAAGAGGGGAAUAAAUCUCAUUUUCACUCUACCUCCCCCUCUAAUAAGGAGAGGAUAAGGACACUGAAAAUGCUGAGGUGAGGAUAAGCCACGUAUAAGUGUUAGGAACUAGAAUGAAGGUCCUUCCUGCUGGGAGGCGAGAAACUGAAAACCAGGUAUGCUAACCCUAGGCCACCUAGCCCUCCAACUACUCUACUACAGAUGCGUAAAUGGGGGAAUCUCAAGUAGGAGUAGAGAGGUCAUUUUACCACUGUAUUUGGCAUUGUUGCAGCUACUGCUGGAAUACUCUGUCCAGUUCUGGUGUCCACAAGUCAAGAAGGAUGUUGA